GAUGAACGCUAGCUACAGGCUUAACACAUGCAAGUCGAGGGGAAACGACAUCGAAAGCUUGCUUUUGAUGGGCGUCGACCGGCGCACGGGUGAGUAACGCGUAUCCAACCUGCCCAUCACUUGGGAAUAACCUUGCGAAAGUAAGACUAAUACCCAAUGAUAUCCCACGAAGGCAUCGGAAUGGGAUUAAAGAUUUAUCGGUGAUGGAUGGGGAUGCGUCUGAUUAGCUUGUUGGCGGGGUAACGGCCCACCAAGGCAACGAUCAGUAGGGGUUCUGAGAGGAAGGUCCCCCACAUUGGAACUGAGACACGGUCCAAACUCCUACGGGAGGCAGCAGUGAGGAAUAUUGGUCAAUGGGCGAGAGCUUGAACCAGCCAAGUAGCGUGCAGGAAGACGGCCCUAUGGGUUGUAAACUGCUUUUAUAAGGGAAUAAAGUGGGUCACGUGUGACUUUUUGCAUGUACCUUAUGAAUAAGGACCGGCUAAUUCCGUG
Molecule: ribosomal RNA, 492 nt
Filed under: uncultured bacterium
Lineage: Bacteria
Description: partial 16S ribosomal RNA
Rfam family: Bacterial small subunit ribosomal RNA
Source: RNAcentral